This 177-nucleotide unclassified non-coding RNA is filed under the name uncultured Lopadostoma. RNAcentral describes it as "sequence contains ITS2". Lineage: Eukaryota; Fungi; Ascomycota; Sordariomycetes; Xylariales; Xylariaceae. The record is from RNAcentral.
CGACCCCUAAGCCUUAGUUGUUUAGUGUUGGGAGCUUGCACCCCCGUGGUUAGCCGCGGCGCAACUCCUUAAAUUUCGUGGCAGGGCUCGCGUCGCCUUGAAGUGUAGUAGAUAACUUCUCGCUUCUUAAAGGCGGUCGCGUAGCACAGCCAAGUGAAAACCUUUUAUAUACCUAGU